Molecule: ribosomal RNA, 506 nt
Filed under: uncultured bacterium
Lineage: Bacteria
Description: partial 16S ribosomal RNA
Rfam family: Bacterial small subunit ribosomal RNA
Source: RNAcentral
AUUGAACGCUGGCGGCAUGCCUUACACAUGCAAGUCGAACGGCAGCAUGGAAGAGCUUGCUCUUCUGAUGGCGAGUGGCGAACGGGUGAGUAAAGCAUCGGAACGUACCGUGUAGUGGGGGAUAACGUAGCGAAAGUUACGCUAAUACCGCAUACGCACUGAGGUGGAAAGCAGGUGAUCGCAAGACCUUGCGCUAUACGAGCGGCCGAUGUCAGAUUAGCUAGUUGGUAGGGUAAAGGCCUACCAAGGCGACGAUCUGUAGCGGGUCUGAGAGGAUGAUCCGCCACACUGGGACAGAGACACGGCCCAGACUCCUACGGGAGGCAGCAGUGGGGAAUUUUGGACAAUGGGGGAAACCCUGAUCCAGCCAUGCCGCGUGAGUGAAGAAGGCCUUCGGGUUGUAAAGCUCUUUCGGCUGGGAAGAAAUCGCACAGGCUAAUACUCUGUGUGGAUGACGGUACCAGCAUAAGAAGCACCGGCUAACUACGUGCCAGCCGCCGCAGUAA